RNAcentral lists this ribosomal RNA (563 nucleotides) under uncultured bacterium. Its description in RNAcentral is "bacterial SSU rRNA". It matches the Rfam family "Bacterial small subunit ribosomal RNA", at positions 96 to 678 of the family's 1533-position model. The record is from RNAcentral.
CGGCGCACGGGUGAGUAACGCGUAUCCAACCUUCCCAUUACUGUGGGAUAACCUGCCGAAAGGCAGACUAAUACCGCAUAGUCUUCGAUGACGGCAUCAGAUUUGAAGUAAAGAUUUAUCGGUAAUGGAUGGGGAUGCGUCUGAUUAGCUAGUUGGUGAGAUAACAGCUCACCAAGGCGACGAUCAGUAGCCGGAUUGAGAGGUUGAACGGCCACAUUGGGACUGAGACACGGCCCAGACUCCUACGGGAGGCAGCAGUCGGGAAUAUUGCACAAUGGAGGAAACUCUGAUGCAGUGACACCGCGUAUAGGAAGAAGGUCUUAGGAUUGUAAGCUAUUGUCGUGUGAGAAGAAAAUGACCAUCACAGGAGGAAGCCCUGGCUAAAUAUGUGCCAGCAGCCGCGGUAAUACAUAUGGGGCGAGCGUUAUCCGGAUUUAUUGGGUGUAAAGGGUGCGUAGGCGGGAAAAUAAGUCAGUAUGUGAAAUCCCUCGGCUCAACUGAGGAACUGCAACUGAAACUAUUUUUCUUGAGUGCUGAAGGGGAAAGUGGAAUUCCUAGUGUAG